ACGGACUGAAGGCUCUUUCUCGAUUCCGUGGAAAGUGGUGCAUGGCCGUUUUUGGUUGGUGGAUCGAUCCGUCUGGUUAAUUCCGUUAACGAACGAGACCUCGGCACUCCGAAUAGCGCGGCGGACGUCGCGGCCUCCGGGCCGUCUUCCGCACGAGCUUCUUAGAGGGACCGUCCCCCGCCGGGGAAGGAGGUGCGAGGCAACGACAGGUCUGUGAUGCCCUUAGAUGUUCUGGGCCGCACGCGCAUUACACUGACGCGUCCAACGGGUGACUCCCGACCCGAAGGGGCCGGGGAAUCCGCAAGGCGCGUCGUGAUGGGGAUUGAACGUUGCAAUUGUUGUUCACGAACGAGGAAUUCCUAGUAGGCGCGGGUCAUCAACCCGCGCCGAUUACGUCCCUGCCCUUUGUACACACC
Molecule: ribosomal RNA, 416 nt
Filed under: uncultured eukaryote
Lineage: Eukaryota
Description: bacterial SSU rRNA
Rfam family: Eukaryotic small subunit ribosomal RNA
Source: RNAcentral